RNAcentral lists this small nuclear RNA (105 nucleotides) under Sciurus vulgaris (Eurasian red squirrel). The record is from RNAcentral. Lineage: Eukaryota; Metazoa; Chordata; Mammalia; Rodentia; Sciuridae.
GCUUGCUUUGGCAGUGCAUGUACUAAAAUUGGAACAAUACAGAGAAGAUUAGCAAGGCUUCUGAGCAAGAGUGAUUUGCAAAUUCGUGAAGCACUUCAUACUUUU